AAAAAAAAAACUUGACUGCAAAGUUGCAGCUAUAAUUCAGAGAGUCCCCACAUGACCCUCACCUGGUCUCCCCCAGCACUAACGUCCUCCACGACGGCGGUUUGUUGUCAGAGCUAAUACAUCAACAUCCCACCACGGUCACCAUGAACCGAACGGCAGAGUGCUGGUGCACACACACGUGCGCACACACAUCAAGAACACCGCGACGAAUGUACAGAUAAACAAUAAGCCAGACACUAACCACGGGGCAAUAAUCAACAGUCUCCGUUGAGCAAAAUUCGUUUGCGUUUCUAUGGACCAGAGUCAAGUUUGCCGCGCUACCAGUCAGCUCUAAGUCACAAGAGCUGUGAAAUAAUUUUUUUAAAAAACUAAAAAUUAAAAAAAAAGUUUCCAGGGGCUGUACAAUAAAUAGUCCAGAGGCGACAGGAAGCCCCGGAGGUUUCGGAGGGCGCACCAGAGCCUGACAUUGAUCGAUACCCCGUCACCGCACAAAUGCUAAGGACCUGCUGAUGUUUGUGAGCUAAGGUCACAGCUCGCUCACUGCACGUUUAUUUCCGGGGCUACUUUUGGAGGAUCUGCUGUCCCUGCUGGUCUGUGAGCCCCGCGCCUCCCUGUAUCACCAUGAGCGCCUAGGCCACAGCUGAGAUGACCAGAGAGCUCCUGGGGAGCCACCCGAGACUCUGAUCAGAGUAGGAACACCCAUGCCAUGUACCCCGGAAGGACAGACUCAGGGUGUGGCAGGUCCAGCCACAGAGCAGGUGGAACCAGCAGGACGGGGUGCACAAGGCGGCAGCAGCACCAGCAGCAGCGAGUGAGACACCGGCAGCUGGUUGGGUGUGUGGCUUUGUCCCAAGGUGCUCUCACGUGGGCGUCGCUGGCCUUAACCCCUGCUCAGCCAGAGGGACCGCCCCGCUCACAACGCUUCCCUUGCCGUGAGUCCCUGGCAUCACCACGGGACUGGAAGGAACAGGUGGGCCAUGGAUGCACCUGGUGGCUCCCCUUCCCUCCGCUCCCCUGCAUCUGAGGCUGGCAAGCUCUGUGUGGGGGGGGGCGGAUGUGCCCCCCGCAGAUCACCAUUCCGCUGGCUCCCGCCCGCAGAACACAUCUGAAUGCAAAUUCUGCUCCUCGGCCACUGCCGCCCCUGCGUGGAUUCCUGUGCCGGGACUGGCCAACCAUUUCCCUGCUGGGCAGCUGUGGGCAAGUCACCGAGUGGCCUCAGUUUCCUCACCUGAAAAAUGGGAAAAGCACCAGCCCCUGCGUUCUGGGGCUAUUUGAGACCUCAGGUUUGAGCUCUGUCCUCCGCACUGGGUUCCCCAACUUUUCCUCCCCCGUGAGAAGUUGGAUAAACGGAUGAAAAUGUCUGUAAAGUGCUCAUAGAACCAUGCUGGGUCCGCACCUUCUAGCCACGACGAUCCGUCCACAGGUGCGAAAGGCUCAGGUGCCGGUAGGUGUAAGGCACACGCUGGAUGUGGGGGGCUCAGGGUGCAAAAGAGAACGUAAAAUAUCUCGUUAUUUUGAAUACUGAUUCCGUGUUGGAACAGUAACAGUAACAGUUUCAGAUGUUUUGGGUUUGAUUAAAUUUAAUCGUUAAAA
Nyctereutes procyonoides (raccoon dog) is the source of this 1593-nucleotide long non-coding RNA. RefSeq lists it as uncharacterized. The record is from RefSeq and is a predicted model, not a curated record. The transcript is spliced from 2 exons. NCBI's taxonomy places the organism in Eukaryota, Metazoa, Chordata, Mammalia, Carnivora, Canidae.